AGUGAACGCUGGCGGUAGGCCUAACACAUGCAAGUCGAACGGCAGCACAGUAAGAGCUUGCUCUUACGGGUGGCGAGUGGCGGACGGGUGAGGAAUACAUCGGAAUCUACUUUUUCGUGGGGGAUAACGUAGGGAAACUUACUCUAAUACCGCAUACGACCUACGGGUGAAAGCAGUGGAUCUUCGGACCUUGCGCGAUUGAAUGAGCCGAUGUCGGAUUAGCUAGUUGGCGGGGUAAAGGCCCACCAAGGCGACGAUCCGUAGCUGGUCUGAGAGGAUGGUCAGCCACACUGGAACUGAGACACGGUCCAGACUCCUACGGGAGGCAGCAGUGGGGAAUAUUGGACAAUGGGCGCAAGCCUGAUCCAGCCAUACCGCGUGGGUGGAGAAGGCCUUCGGGUUGUAAAGCCCUUUUGUUGGGAAAGAAAAGCAGCAGGUUAAUACCCAGCUGUUCUGACGGUACCCAAAGAAUAAGCACCGGCUAACUUCGUG
Molecule: ribosomal RNA, 492 nt
Filed under: uncultured bacterium
Lineage: Bacteria
Description: partial 16S ribosomal RNA
Rfam family: Bacterial small subunit ribosomal RNA
Source: RNAcentral